GACGAACGCUGGCGGCGUGCCUAAUACAUGCAAGUUGAGCGAUGAAGAUUGGUGCUUGCACCAAUUUGAAGAGCAGCGAACGGGUGAGUAACGCGUGGGGAAUCUGCCUUUGAGCGGGGGACAACAUUUGGAAACGAAUGCUAAUACCGCAUAACAACUUUAAACAUAAGUUUUAAGUGUGAAAGAUGCAAUUGCAUCACUCAAAGAUGAUCCCGCGUUGUAUUAGCUAGUUGGUGAGGUAAAGGCUCACCAAGGCGAUGAUACAUAGCCGACCUGAGAGGGUGAUCGGCCACAUUGGGACUGAGACACGGCCCAAACUCCUACGGGAGGCAGCAGGAGGGAAUCUUCGGCAAUGGACGAAAGUCUGACCGAGCAACGCCGCGUGAGUGAAGAAGGUUUUCGGAUCGUAAAACUCUGUUGGUAGAGAAGAACGUUGGUGAGAGUGGAAAGCUCAUCAAGUGACGGUAACUACCCAGAAAGGGACGGCUAACUACGUG
Molecule: ribosomal RNA, 497 nt
Filed under: uncultured bacterium
Lineage: Bacteria
Description: partial 16S ribosomal RNA
Rfam family: Bacterial small subunit ribosomal RNA
Source: RNAcentral